Molecule: long non-coding RNA, 404 nt
Filed under: Carica papaya (papaya)
Lineage: Eukaryota; Viridiplantae; Streptophyta; Magnoliopsida; Brassicales; Caricaceae
Description: long non-coding RNA (CPAP_LNC010058)
Source: RNAcentral
GUGAUUUUAUAACUUACUGACCAAAUUUGUCCAAAUUGACCGCAUUUGGCAUAUCUAAGGUUUACUUAAGUCCCAAAAGGUCUAAACCGCAAAUAAAGUUAGCCCCAUGUCCAUACCCUUACUUCAAAACUCCAUAACUUGUUCAAUUUUUAUUCUUUUUGGGCUGAUUUAUGCUUCACGUGUUCGUCAAAUAGGUGUUAUCACAUGGUUUUGGUUUAGGCUUCAUCCAGAUCCAUUUGGCUCACUUAUGGCCCAAUAAUCCCAAAAGGUCAAAUUUGUCCUUCAUGUGCAUGCCACUAUGGACAUUUUUGUUCCAUACACAUCGUCCUCAAUGUCUUGGCUAGUUCUCAGCCAAAUUUGAGCCUUAAAUGCCAAGUAUUUUGGUAUCGGAACAUAAAUCAAGC